AUGGAAAAGAAAGGAAAAGAGAUUUGAUUUCUGUGGCUGAGAACCACUCCAACAGAAGAUUUUGUGAAGAAUGAGGUUGAAGCUAUUAGUACAAGUUAGAAAAAAAAAUCUAGUUCUAAGACCUGCAGAAGAAAGACCUGAACUUCAGAGGGGACCACAAAUGAAUAUGAAUUAAGAACGGGGUUCUCUUUUCAAAAGCCAACACAAAAUGAGGACAUGUUUUAUGUAAAAGCAGCUCUUCUUGCCAGUGGGCUUCCACGUGUCCUUCUUUCAUAUAUCACAGCCAGACCUAGGAAAUUCCCUGGGAAGUGCGCUCCACCACAGUGCCUGCAGUUUCUCCAUUUGACUGGGAUUCUGUUGCACCUUGAGAGAUUUUUUUUUUUUUUUUUGAUGUUUGGGAAGCUGUUACCACAAAAAAGCCCUUCCUGCAGUGAGGAAAUAGCAUGGUACCCAGAAAGACGAAGGGAGUGGACUGGGAAAUGGGAAUCUGGGUCCAUUUCCCUCCUACCAGUACCAUUUCCCUCCUACCAGUACCAUUUCCCUCCUACCAGUACUGUGUGUUUUUCCUGGCCUCAGUGGCUUCAUCUGUAAAAUGGAACAGUGUGGACAUGAAAGUGAAAACAUCUGCCAUUGUGACUAUAAAUGUUUAAGAAACGAGUCCUGCGUACCUGCCUCCUUCAGUUUUCCAUCUGUAAGGUACCACUUAUUGGGUGCUUGCUAUUUGUGGAGCAAAAAGAAUGCUGAAGCAAGAAGGCAGCCUCGAAGGGGUGCUGUUCAGAGCCAAUUUACAAUUAUGAAGGAAGCCAGAUUGAAGAAAAUGCCAAAAAGUACAAAAGGGAAGGCCAAACUGAAAGAAUUUCAGAACAUCAGAGUCUGGGCCAUGAUGCACCCAGGCUUCAUGAUAUAUGAGGUAAUGCUUUUCCUACUUGUUUAUACUUCUUAUAGUCAAGCACAUUGUAAUUCAUGCAGCUCCUUAAGAAAAUGGGAAUCUGUGUGGUGUGGUAGAACUGCUGAGGUGGGUCUUCAUGGGGGGAACCCAGAUUUUAAAUGGUGAAAUGUUUAUAUAAUGCAACUAAAAAUAUUUGCUUCUUAUUGAUUAGCUUUUUUUUUUUUUAACACAAAACAGAGAUGUUCACUGUGACCUCAAGUGGAUUCUUCUCCACCAAUCCAAAAUUUUAUCCCAGGUAUUACAUUUAUCUUAAUUAUAACAUAGUGAUGAUCACUUGAUGAGCUGGUCAUGUAUGAUACAGCUGGUUGUGCUGGUCAUAAAUGAUACAUAACUAUAUGAACCUUAAAAAUCCUCAAAAAUAUGAUGUUGAGUUUAUAAAGCUGUCUAAAUUAUGUUGGAAAAGGGGGACAUUUAGUCCAUAUGACUGAGAAAAAAGAAUUCAUUAUGACAGUUCAGUUCAUUUCAAGAUGGCUGCUCUUAGGAAAAGUAUUUGUUGUCUUUCUAGAAAAAAUGUAAAUAUUCUUCACAGUGUGUCAUAUCUCUGGUGGCUUGAAGAAUUGGAGAGUGAAGGGGUUUAUGCUAUAAAAUGAUUAUUUUCAGCAUUUCUAUCAAAUAGAUUAUAAGGAAGUGAAUUACAUAUGGUCCAAACUGGUUUGAAGCAGAAUAAAUUCAUUCAUAUCUUCA
RNAcentral lists this long non-coding RNA (1633 nucleotides) under Sus scrofa (pig). Its description in RNAcentral is "lncRNA (ENSSSCG00035003518.1, ENSSSCG00055028860.1)". Lineage: Eukaryota; Metazoa; Chordata; Mammalia; Artiodactyla; Suidae. The record is from RNAcentral.